UACGGAGGGUGCAAGCAUUAAUCGGAUUUAUUGGGCGUAAAGGGCGCGUAGGCGGAAAGGAAAGUCAGAUGUGAAAUCCCGGGGCUCAACCCCGGAACUGCAUUUGAAACUUCCAUUUCUAGAGGAUUGGCGGAGAAAACGGAAUUCCACAAGUAGCGGUGAAAUGCGUAGAUAUGUGGAAGAACACCAGUGGCGAAGGCGGUUUUCUAGCUUAUUCCUGACGCUGAGGCGCGAAAGCAAGGGGAUCAAACAGG
Molecule: ribosomal RNA, 254 nt
Filed under: uncultured bacterium
Lineage: Bacteria
Description: partial 16S ribosomal RNA
Rfam family: Bacterial small subunit ribosomal RNA
Source: RNAcentral